AUUGAACGCUGGCGGCAGGCUUAACACAUGCAAGUCGAGCGGGGGAAGGUAGCUUGCUACCGGACCUAGCGGCGGACGGGUGAGUAAUGCUUAGGAAUCUGCCUAUUAGUGGGGGACAACAUCUCGAAAGGGAUGCUAAUACCGCAUACGUCCUACGGGAGAAAGCAGGGGAUCUUCGGACCUUGCGCUAAUAGAUGAGCCUAAGUCGGAUUAGCUAGUUGGUGGGGUAAAGGCCUACCAAGGCGACGAUCUGUAGCGGGUCUGAGAGGAUGAUCCGCCACACUGGGACUGGGACACGGCCCAGACUCCUACGGGAGGCAGCAGUGGGGAAUAUUGGACAAUGGGGGGAACCCUGAUCCAGCCAUGCCGCGUGUGUGAAGAAGACCUUAUGGUUGUAAAGCACUUUAAGCGAGGAGGAGGCUACUCUAGUUAAUACCUAGGGAUAGUGGACGUUACUCGCAGAAUAAGCACCGGCUAACUCUGUGCCAGCAGCCGCCGUAA
Molecule: ribosomal RNA, 501 nt
Filed under: uncultured bacterium
Lineage: Bacteria
Description: partial 16S ribosomal RNA
Rfam family: Bacterial small subunit ribosomal RNA
Source: RNAcentral